CCUCAUACUGUUAGACAGACACCAGCUUUCCAUCCAAACAAUCCAGUAGAAAUGAUUCUGUGGAUACAUUUCAUAUUUAGUGUCUUCAUUUUCAAAGGUGUCCAUGCAGAUUCUCUGGUGGAAUCUGGUGGGGAUGUGAAAAGACCUGGAGAGUCCCUCCGACUCACAUGUACAACAUCAGGAUUCAACAUAGACAGCUACUGGAUGCACUGGGUCCAUCAAGCUCCUGGAAAGGGACUCAAAUGGCUCUCAGCAAUUAAUCGGGCCAGCACAGCUUAUGCAGAUUCUGCUAAAGGGCGGUUCACAAUCUCCACAGACGGUUCCAAGAAGCUGAUCUUUCUACAUAUGACUGGUCUGAAAGCUGAAGAUACCGGCAUGUAUUAUUGUGCCAGGGAACACAGUGGUGGAAAGCUAAUCUGA
Podarcis muralis (Common wall lizard) is the source of this 420-nucleotide non-coding RNA. The record is from the annotation of a RefSeq genome assembly. NCBI's taxonomy places the organism in Eukaryota, Metazoa, Chordata, Lepidosauria, Squamata, Lacertidae.